UUCACGUAGCAUUAUGUUUUCAAGGUUCAUCCAUGAUGUGGGCUCACAAACUAAGAGUGGUGUCGUGGACAGAAUAAUGCCCCCCCCCCCCAGAUAUUUAUAUUCUAAUUCCAGUACUUGUGAAUGUUACCUUACAAAGCAAACUUUGAACAUGUUUCGGAUCUUGAGAUUGGGAAAUUAUUCUGGAUUAUUUGGGUGGGUCCAAGGCCAUCAUAGAAAGGAGGCAAGAGAGUCAGAGAAGAUGUGAUGACAGAAGCAGAAGUUGGAGUGACACACUUUGAAGAUGGAGGAAGGGGCCAUGAGCCAAGAAAUCCGGGCCACUUCCCAGAAGUUGGAAAAGGCAAGGAAAUAUAAUACCCUGUAGAGCUUUCAAAAGGAACACAGCCCUGCUGACACCUUGAUGUAGCCAAAUAUAACCCAAUUGGACUUCCGACUUCCAGAGAAUAAAUAUGUUAUUUUAAGC
Molecule: long non-coding RNA, 463 nt
Organism: Myotis davidii
Lineage: Eukaryota; Metazoa; Chordata; Mammalia; Chiroptera; Vespertilionidae
Exons: 2
Source: RefSeq, a predicted model, not a curated record